GAUGAACGCUGGCGGCGUGCUUAACACAUGCAAGUCGAACGGGAAACCUUUUAUUGAAGCUUCGGCAGAUUUAGCUGGUUUCUAGUGGCGGACGGGUGAGUAACGCGUGGGUAACCUGCGUUAUACAGGGGGAUAACAACCAGAAAUGGUUGCUAAUACCGCAUAAGCGCACAGGGCCGCAUGGUCCGGUGUGAAAAACUCCGGUGGUAUAAGAUGGACCCGCGUUGGAUUAGCUGGUUGGCAGGGUAACGGCCUACCACGGCGACGAUCCAUAGCCGGCCAGAGAGGGUGAACCGCCACAUUGGGACUGAGACACGGCCCAGACUCCUACGGGAGGCAGCAGUGGGGAAUAUUGCACAAUGGGGGAAACCAUGAAGCAGCGACGCCGCGUGAAGGAAGAAGUAUCUCGAUAUAUAAACUUCUAUCAGCAGGGAAGAUAGUGACGGUACCUGACUAAGAAGCCCCGGCUAACUACGUG
RNAcentral lists this ribosomal RNA (478 nucleotides) under uncultured bacterium. Its description in RNAcentral is "partial 16S ribosomal RNA". It matches the Rfam family "Bacterial small subunit ribosomal RNA", at positions 28 to 507 of the family's 1533-position model. The record is from RNAcentral.